RNAcentral lists this ribosomal RNA (206 nucleotides) under uncultured bacterium. Its description in RNAcentral is "partial 16S ribosomal RNA". It matches the Rfam family "Bacterial small subunit ribosomal RNA", at positions 568 to 774 of the family's 1533-position model. The record is from RNAcentral.
UGCGUAGGUGGCGCGGUAAGUCGGGUGUGAAAUUUCGGAGCUCAACUCCGAAACUGCAUUCGAUACUGCCGUGCUUGAGGACUGGAGAGGAGACUGGAAUUUACGGUGUAGCAGUGAAAUGCGUAGAGAUCGUAAGGAAGACCAGUGGCGAAGGCGGGUCUCUGGACAGUUCCUGACACUGAGGCACGAAGGCCAGGGAGCAAACG